RNAcentral lists this ribosomal RNA (496 nucleotides) under uncultured bacterium. RNAcentral's name for it is "partial 16S ribosomal RNA". It matches the Rfam family "Bacterial small subunit ribosomal RNA", at positions 28 to 506 of the family's 1533-position model. The record is from RNAcentral.
GAUGAACGCUGGCGGCGUGCCUAAUACAUGCAAGUCGAGCGAACAGACGAGGAGCUUGCUCCUCUGACGUUAGCGGCGGACGGGUGAGUAACACGUGGAUAACCUACCUAUAAGACUGGGAUAACUUCGGGAAACCGGAGCUAAUACCGGAUAAUAUAUUGAACCGCAUGGUUCAAUAGUGAAAGACGGUUUUGCUGUCACUUAUAGAUGGAUCCGCGCCGCAUUAGCUAGUUGGUAAGGUAACGGCUUACCAAGGCAACGAUGCGUAGCCGACCUGAGAGGGUGAUCGGCCACACUGGAACUGAGACACGGUCCAGACUCCUACGGGAGGCAGCAGUAGGGAAUCUUCCGCAAUGGGCGAAAGCCUGACGGAGCAACGCCGCGUGGGUGAUGAAGGUCUUCGGAUCGUAAAACUCUGUUAUUAGGGAAGAACAAAUGUGUAGGUAACUAUGCACGUCUUGACGGUACCUAAUCAGAAAGCCACGGCUAACUACGU